RNAcentral lists this unclassified non-coding RNA (164 nucleotides) under Hodophilus foetens. RNAcentral describes it as "internal transcribe spacer 1". The record is from RNAcentral. Lineage: Eukaryota; Fungi; Basidiomycota; Agaricomycetes; Agaricales; Clavariaceae.
AUGAUUCUCAAAGGAUGUGCUGGCAAACUAAAAGUUGCAUGUGCACUCUGACUAUCAUUCACCUGUGCACAUUUUGUAGACAGAGAUAGCAGCAAUGUUAUCUCAUUGUCUAUGAUUUUUAUACACCCUGUUUAAAUAAAAUUGUAUGCUUUUGAAAAUAAAUA